UAACCAAAGUACCCCAGCCUGAUGCAGCCAUGCCGCGUGUAUGAAGAAGGCCUUCGGGUUGUAAAGUACUUUCAGCGGGGAGGAAGGGAGUAAAGUUAAUACCUUUGCUCAUUGACGUUACCCGCAGAAGAAGCACCGGCUAACUCCGUGCCAGCAGCCGCGGUAAUACUC
RNAcentral lists this ribosomal RNA (171 nucleotides) under uncultured bacterium. RNAcentral's name for it is "partial 16S ribosomal RNA". It matches the Rfam family "Bacterial small subunit ribosomal RNA", at positions 364 to 528 of the family's 1533-position model. The record is from RNAcentral.